UCCCUUGUGGCUCAGACGGUAAAGCGUCUGCCUACAAUGCAGGAGACCCGGGUUCGAUCCCUGGGUCGGGAA
This 72-nucleotide transfer RNA is filed under the name Capra hircus (goat). It matches the Rfam family "tRNA". Rfam says of the family: Transfer RNA (tRNA) molecules are approximately 80 nucleotides in length. Their secondary structure includes four short double-helical elements and three loops (D, anti-codon, and T loops). Further hydrogen bonds mediate the characteristic L-shaped molecular structure. tRNAs have two regions of fundamental functional importance: the anti-codon, which is responsible for specific mRNA codon recognition, and the 3' end, to which the tRNAs corresponding amino acid is attached (by aminoacyl-tRNA synthetases). tRNAs cope with the degeneracy of the genetic code in two manners: having more than one tRNA (with a specific anti-codon) for a particular amino acid; and 'wobble' base-pairing, i.e. permitting non-standard base-pairing at the 3rd anti-codon position. RNAcentral also lists the same sequence under 2 other names. Lineage: Eukaryota; Metazoa; Chordata; Mammalia; Artiodactyla; Bovidae. The record is from Rfam by way of RNAcentral.